RNAcentral lists this ribosomal RNA (502 nucleotides) under uncultured bacterium. Its description in RNAcentral is "bacterial SSU rRNA". It matches the Rfam family "Bacterial small subunit ribosomal RNA", at positions 29 to 525 of the family's 1533-position model. The record is from RNAcentral.
AUUGAACGCUGGCGGAAUGCUUUACACAUGCAAGUCGAGCGGCAGCGCGGGGGCAACCCUGGCGGCGAGCGGCGAACGGGUGAGUAACAUAUCGGAACGUACCCAGUCGUGGGGGAUAACUAUCCGAAAGGAUAGCUAAUACCGCAUACGUCCUGAGGGAGAAAGCGGGGGAUCGCAAGACCUCGCGCGAUUGGAGCGGCCGAUAUCGGAUUAGCUAGUUGGUGGGGUAAAGGCUCACCAAGGCGACGAUCCGUAGCGGGUCUGAGAGGACGACCCGCCACACUGGAACUGAGACACGGUCCAGACUCCUACGGGAGGCAGCAGUGGGGAAUUUUGGACAAUGGGGGCAACCCUGAUCCAGCCAUUCCGCGUGAGUGAAGAAGGCCUUCGGGUUGUAAAGCUCUUUCAGCAGGAACGAAACGGUGGUCCCUAAUACGGACUACUAAUGACGGUACCUGAAGAAGAAGCACCGGCUAACUACGUGCCAGCAGCCGCGGUAAAG